RNAcentral lists this small nuclear RNA (26 nucleotides) under Arabidopsis thaliana (thale cress). RNAcentral's name for it is "snRNA_11073". The record is from RNAcentral. Lineage: Eukaryota; Viridiplantae; Streptophyta; Magnoliopsida; Brassicales; Brassicaceae.
CUCAACAUCUUUGCUCUUAACUUGGA